UGUAACUGAACGGUCAGCCCUCCCGGAGUGCCAUCAAUGCACAGGAACAAUUUUGUAUGAUAAAUGAUUCAUGACUGUUUAUUGUAAGUUAUCGUAAACAGUUUCCAUGUUGAGAAAUUUGAGAAAUAAGGACUCAGAAAAUUCAUGGACAGAUACAGGUAGUUCACCUCGUGAAUUUGAAAGAUUCUGUGAAAGGAACCUUAACAAUUUGUGACAGUCCAUCUUGAAUAUAAUACACUCUGCUACAGUGUAGUGCGGUAGAAUGAGUGAUUGUUUUAGGUCUUGGCUGGAGGAUUCAGAUGCUGAGUAAGGGCCACAAGAGGAAGAAAGAGUUGGAACUGUUCCUUAUACAGGUGGUGGAGACGCUUUGGGGAGGCAAGAGUCAGGAGUCAGGGGAGUCAGUUACUCAUCGCAAUAUUCCUUGCCUCUCAUCCACUCUUGUAUCUUCUGUCUUUACAUGGCAAGUCCAGUGUGAUUUAUAAGAAUUACAAUGGGGAGAAACCUGAGGACUCGAUUCCUGACCUACCACAAUUUGAGUCCACAUGACCACAAUGAAGGUCGUAAAGAGCAAUUCUAUCAGGAGCAGCAGGAUACUCUAUAAUGGAUAUCACUGUGCACAAUGGGGGUCGACAUUCGUGGGCUAUACUAUGGCUACUCAACAGCUGUCGAUAAAGGACUUCAACAGAAAUGGUCUGGUUGUUCAAAGAUCUGUGGACCAACACUGAUUGUAUAUUGUCCAUACACAGGAACCAUGUGUCAUUACAGAGCAAUUGUCCACCAUACUUCAUUGGAAUCAACCCAAUGAGGAAUAUCAUGAU
Long non-coding RNA from Chiloscyllium plagiosum (whitespotted bambooshark), 818 nucleotides. RefSeq lists it as uncharacterized. NCBI's taxonomy places the organism in Eukaryota, Metazoa, Chordata, Chondrichthyes, Orectolobiformes, Hemiscylliidae. The record is from RefSeq and is a predicted model, not a curated record.